UACAGAGGGUGCUAGCGUUGUUCGGAAUUACUGGGCGUAAAGGGCGCGUAGGCGGCUUUUUAAGUCAGGCGUGAAAGCCCCGGGCUCAACCUGGGAACUGCGCUUGAUACUGGAGAGCUUGAGAGCGGAAGAGGAAAGUGGAAUUCCUAGUGUAGAAGUGAAAUUCGUAGAUAUUAGGAGGAACACCAGAGGCGAAGGCGGCUUUCUGGUCCGCAACUGACGCUGAGGCGCGAAAGCGUGGGGAGCAAACAGG
This 253-nucleotide ribosomal RNA is filed under the name uncultured bacterium. RNAcentral's name for it is "partial 16S ribosomal RNA". It matches the Rfam family "Bacterial small subunit ribosomal RNA", at positions 524 to 776 of the family's 1533-position model. The record is from RNAcentral.